GGGACUGCGGCCCGCCUCCAUUCGUGCGUCUCCUUCUCUCCGCAGGUCAGCUCCGCCGAAGGCGCCGCCAAGGAAGAGCCCAAGAGGAGAUCGGCGCGGUUGUCAGCUAAACCUCCUGCAAAAGUGGAAGCGAAGCCGAAGAAGGCAGCAGCGAAGAGCCAAGUUAGGACUGAGGCCAGGAGGAAGGGAACGUGUAAGUUUUUGUAUAUACAGUUUCCAAGCCAACUUCGGGAAGCCUUAACCUUUUUACGGGGUGGGGGUGAGGAGGUAAAAAGUUGUGAUCUCUGAGAAAAUAACCGCCACUACUCUGGAAGUGUUUAUCAGCAGUUAUACAAAACCGUGAUUUUGGCUGCUCCCUAACAAAUUCGUGAUUGCAUGAUUGGAAUUGCAGGUCUGUAGAAUGAAAUUGGCUUUGGGUAUACGUGUGUUUGAUAACUUUCAGGGUGGAAAAGCAGAACGUGUGUAAAACAUGUAUAAGCCUUGUGUUUGGAUAUAGCAUUGAAACCACCACCUGUAAAGCUCUACAUGUUCUUCACGGGGUGAUUAGUUUUUAUCCAAAACUUAGGUGAGAGUUUGCUAUUUGAAGUCUCAAAAAAAAUUUUUGUUAAUGCCUUCACCUCUUU
Molecule: small RNA, 623 nt
Filed under: Pongo abelii (Sumatran orangutan)
Lineage: Eukaryota; Metazoa; Chordata; Mammalia; Primates; Hominidae
Description: processed transcript
Source: RNAcentral